GAUGAACGCUGGCGGCGUGCCUAAUACAUGCAAGUCGAGCGAACAGACGAGGAGCUUGCUCCUUCGACGUUAGCGGCGGACGGGUGAGUGACACGUAGGUAACCUACCUAUAAGACUGGGAUAACUUCGGGAAACCGGAGCUAAUACCGGAUAAUAUUUCGAACCGCAUGGUUCGAUAGUGAAAGAUGGCUUUGCUAUCACUUAUAGAUGGACCUGCGCCGUAUUAGCUAGUUGGUAAGGUAACGGCUUACCAAGGCAACGAUACGUAGCCGACCUGAGAGGGUGAUCGGCCACACUGGAACUGAGACACGGUCCAGACUCCUACGGGAGGCAGCAGUAGGGAAUCUUCCGCAAUGGGCGAAAGCCUGACGGAGCAACGCCGCGUGAGUGAUGAAGGUCUUCGGAUCGUAAAACUCUGUUAUUAGGGAAGAACAAACGUGUAAGUAACUGUGCACGUCUUGACGGUACCUAAUCAGAAAGCCACGGCUAACUACGUG
Molecule: ribosomal RNA, 497 nt
Filed under: uncultured bacterium
Lineage: Bacteria
Description: partial 16S ribosomal RNA
Rfam family: Bacterial small subunit ribosomal RNA
Source: RNAcentral